AUUGAACGCUGGCGGCAGGCCUAACACAUGCAAGUCGAGCGGAGCGGCGGACGGGUGAGUAAUGCAUAGGAAUCUGCCUGGUAGUGGGGGAUAACGUCCGGAAACGGGCGCUAAUACCGCAUACUAUCAGAUGAGCCUAGGGCGGAUUAGCUAGUUGGUGGGGUAAAGGCCUACCAAGGCGACGCUCCGUAACUGGUCUGAGAGGAUGAUCAGUCACAUCGGACCUGCGACAGUGUCCAGACUCCUACGGGAGGCAGCAUGGGGGAAUAUUGGACAAUGGGCGAAAGCCUGAUCCAGCCAUGCCGCGUGUGUGAAGAAUGUCUUCGGUUUGUAAAGCACUGUAAGUUGGGAGGCGUUACCAACAGAAUAAGCACCGGCUAACUUCGUGCCAGCCGCCGCGGUAAUUC
RNAcentral lists this ribosomal RNA (407 nucleotides) under uncultured bacterium. RNAcentral's name for it is "partial 16S ribosomal RNA". It matches the Rfam family "Bacterial small subunit ribosomal RNA", at positions 30 to 526 of the family's 1533-position model. The record is from RNAcentral.